GACGUUUUUCUGCCGAGUUCAACGAGUCCCGCAUCGCGGAGCGACAGACGCGCCUACGCGCUGAGGGCUCUUCACAAGGCGCACACGCUGGCAAGGCACGACAACGGCGUACCGUACCUUUGUAGCGAGCAUGGCCCCCAUGCGUCAUGGCGCUGCGGAUGCCGCGCCGAUGUGCCUCGCUGACCGCAUGAAGCAACGGUAUAGGUGUCCGCUGUCGGCUCUACUCAUGUGCACGGUACUCUUCGCGCAGCUUCUGCUCUGUAGCACCUCCCUGCCCGUCGCGGCCGACACGACCAUCACGCCCCUCCUCAACAUCACCUCCACCGACAAGGCGGACCCCGAUGAGUACUACAAGAUAUUGCUCUCCCAGGACGCCACCAUCCUUGCGGGCAGCACCACCGUCCUCAGCAGCGACGGAGUCGCCUACCCGAACCUCAACAUGGUGAAAGGACUGCGGUCCGUCCCCCAGGUUCCUGGGGCGCCAAUGGCGCAGAGCGCUCCUAAGCGGACCAACACGGCCUUGAAGGCCUUCCGCGCCGACGUCCUAUCGGAGUUCCUCGUAGCGAUGGCACUCCUCUACCUCGACUCCACCGACGCGCUGCCCUUCGCACGCACGGCGCCGAUCCCGUCCACGUACCUGCCAGCCUCCUACACAGGCGGCGCCAGCUUCGUCAACCCGUCGUUUCCCACCGUGCCCAUCACCCUCAACAUGCUGCUGCAGCACGUUUCUUCGCUCACCGAGACGGGCCUCGACCUUCGCGCCGAAACUGCGCCGUCCGGCGCUGUGUCGACCCUCUCGGCCUUUGUCAGCUCCCUCUUUUCCACCACGACCACAACAGUGUUCAGCGCUAGCCAGCCGGGGUUGUCUACCAGCUACACCUACUCGCAUGCCAACGUGGCGAUCGUCGCCUACGUGGUGGAGCAGGUCUUGGCUACGUCGACGAACUACUCGGCGCUCUCCGGCAUCGGCGAGUUCGUCUUCACCGUCGUGAUGCCACCACUGCAGCUGUCGAACACGUUUUUGCUGAACCGCAACGGUCACGUCAUUGAGGCAGCCUACCCCUUGAGGAGCGGCAGCAGCCAUGACACGGUGAAUCACGUCGCCCGCCAAGUCCUUGACAGCCGCAACACCGGCAUCCUGGACAGCGCUCCGAGGGAAGCCUCGUACUUCUCCGACUACAUGCUCUUUACGACCAGCGCAGACGUGGCGAAGUUGGCGGCAGAGGUGCUCGUGCCGGGCGGCUUUUACCACAUGCGACUUGGCGCCUCGAUGCUCCAGAACACGGUCCCCAUUGCCGUGCCUACGAUGCGCUACACGGAGGCACGCACAACCGGCCUCUUCCUGUUCAGCGCGAACAAGCUGUGCUCUACAAUGUACGCCGCCAUCUCCUACAGCGGCCAAGCGCCGUACUGCCGCUACAACUCCGCGACCGUGUCCGAGUCAGCGCCGCCCUUCGGGCUGGUCGCCACAGGUGGCACGGAUGAGCUCGCCAUCGUGUGCGUCCCCGUCGUGAGCAACACGAAGACGUUCUGCUCGAUCGCGGAGCUUUCCUUCUCAGGCACAGGCUGCAGCAGGUGCAGCCCCGCAGCGGCGGGGGACCGUGCUGUCGGCCUUGCCAUGGUGAGCCUGGCGCACUUGACGAGUGAACCGAUGCCAGUGGCGCCAGCCCCGACGCCGCAGUCGAAAGCUCGCACGUUUAACGGGUGGUUCGUGUUCCUGGGGGUGGCCGUCACACUGGUGGUUGUGGUCGUCGCCUCCUACAUCACCGACUACCUCAUCCAGCCGCCGCCGCCAGCGAAGAUUAUAGCACCCGUCGUGGCGGGUCAGAUCGGCCUGCGGAGCGGCACCGCGCUGAAUGGCCCUGUUGGCGGCGGCGGCGCAGUCGGCAGCUCGGAAGUGCCCGUUGACGGUGAGUCCCCCGAGGCGUUCCGCGAAAACGGUAGAGACCAUGACGCUGAGGGCCUGUACAGUGGCGCCGACGACGAGGAACAGACGCCGUACCUCGCGUGCAGCGGUGACCGUGCUCGCGGCAGCUCGUCACUGCGGCGGCGUUGCCCGCGCCGGCGCCGGCGCCGUCACAACGGCGAGCCGAAUCCGGCCAGUGACGGCUCCUACUCCAGCGGCGACGACGGCUGGGGCGACGACCGGGACAGCGUCGACCGCGUCUCCACGGGGUCGCGGCGGCCGAGCCCGAAAGGCGCUCUGCGCUUUGAUGCCUACAUAUAGAGACGGUAGCUAAGAGAAGGCGGGGGGGGGGGGGGGCAGCGGGUGUGCGCCCUCCCCCCACCCCCUGCCUUGGCGGUUGGGCGGUUUAGAUGGCUCUGCCGCCUUCCUCAGGCGCGCGUCGAGUCGCUCGUGCUGAGCAGCACCGCGUCUUCGACGGGAGCGCGCCCUCUUGCUGCCCUUGCUCCUUUAGAUAUGGCGCACGCCUUUCCCUCCCUCACCACACGGCAGAAUCUCUUGCAUCCCUUUAUGGCAGAUGUGUAGACGACUUG
RNAcentral lists this unclassified non-coding RNA (2496 nucleotides) under Leishmania donovani. RNAcentral's name for it is "gene:LdHU3.12.0330(CDS-product:hypothetical_prote in_conserved)". Lineage: Eukaryota; Euglenozoa; Kinetoplastea; Trypanosomatida; Trypanosomatidae. The record is from RNAcentral.